Molecule: ribosomal RNA, 254 nt
Filed under: uncultured bacterium
Lineage: Bacteria
Description: partial 16S ribosomal RNA
Rfam family: Bacterial small subunit ribosomal RNA
Source: RNAcentral
UACGUAGGGUGCAAGCGUUUGUCCGGAAUUAUUGGGCGUAAAGAGCUCGUAGGCGGUCUGUUGCGUCGGCUGUGAAAACCCGGGGCUCAACCCCGGGCCUGCAGCCGAUACGGGCAGACUAGAGUUCGGCAGGGGAGACUGGAAUUCCUGGUGUAGCGGUGAAAUGCGCAGAUAUCAGGAGGAACACCUGCGGUGUAGACGGCUUACUGGACGGUAACUGACGCUGAGGCACGAAAGCGUGGGUAGCAAACAGG